RNAcentral lists this ribosomal RNA (2115 nucleotides) under Triticum aestivum (bread wheat). RNAcentral's name for it is "partial small subunit ribosomal RNA". Lineage: Eukaryota; Viridiplantae; Streptophyta; Magnoliopsida; Poales; Poaceae. The record is from RNAcentral.
UAUAUAUUAGUUGUGAGGGCACUCAUUCAUGUUGAAUGAGAAUAUGAAAUCAAGUACGAUCAUGCACAGAUGCAUUACCGAUGAGGUUAGUAAAAUUCAGAAUGAUCCAACAUAAGUGUAAUUUCCAUGAACAUGCUUAGAAACAGAUUAUCAUGAUGUAUACAUCUGCAUGCUCCAAAAAAUUGAAAUCAAAUGUGCCAUGGCACAGAAAUGUCAUAGUACGCUCGCAAAAAUAUUUUUCUUCUAUACAUGGACACAGAACAAGCUCUAAUCAGAGAUAACAAAACAAAUGUCAUUUGACAGAGUAUAACUAUGAUAUAUCAUGACAAACUGUAUCAUGACAUUAGUUCUUUGGGGCAAAACAAAAGCAUCACAAAGUGCAUACUCAUUAUCCUAACUAUGAGACAUCAAUAAUUACAAGCAUCAAGAAAAGGGCAAUUUUUCACCUUUGCACAUAUGUCAAGUGUGUAGUGCAGACUGUUGGGUGUUGCUCUCUCCUCGACCACAGAUGUUUGAAGUCUGAACAAAUUCUUCUGCAUUUCUCCCUUUUGGGUUGUAGCUACAAGCAAACAAAAUAUGAUACAUGCAUCCUUCAACAUUGGGUUGUAAAUCUUCCUCCUAAUCUUCAGCUUGUACCUGAGCUUCCUCAACCCCUGCUUCUUCUGUUUGGCAUGAAUUUUACCUCCUCUACCACACCUUCUUCCUCCACCUCUACCUUGCCAUCUCUGCCUCUAGCAUUGUCUCCCCCUUUACCAGAUCAUGUAUAUCUGCAUAACCACAAACUAAGAAAGCUCUUCGAGACAUCAUAGUGACAUCAGUAGUUCAUGACAGAACAGAUACUUUUUUGCGGGAAAGAACAGUCUCGGUUGUUAAACAUUAAAGAACAAUCCAGUGAUCAUAUCAAGAAGUCGGAGGCCCAGGAUGCUCUAGUAACCUCAGUACAAAAGAGGAAGAAAUAGCAAUCAACGCCUUGAGGAAAUAAAGAAGAACACAAUUAACUAUGAUCUUGCUAUUAAAGAAGCAUACAUAAGAACCACCAUCUAUUGACAAGCCGGUACAAUGACAUUACUUUCAGUUCCAGAGAACAAGUGUAUAUAGCACUUCUUAAAAGGAAAUGGAUAUUAUAUUUAGUGGUAUGUUAAUCACUAUGUAGCAAGCAUCAGACAGUCUUGCUAUUUUGAAGUAACAGUAAACAACUCCAUCCUAUUCGUUAAUGUAGAGAUGAACAAUUGAUUCAAGCAGACUACACAGAAUUCUUGUUUUAAUUCAGAUCACCUCCUGUAUGUAAUAAAAAUGAACUAUAGAUAAAAGAAAUUAAUCUUACUUGGCUGGAAGUAGCAUGAAGAUGAGAUGAUUCCACAUUAUUCUCAACGAUUCAUGCAUACCAACGUGAGCAGAAAUCCACAACCAGGAGACUGGUGGUGCGCGGGCGCGUCCACAACAAUCAGCCUCGGUGGCGGUCUAUCAUCCUCGAUAGUGGCGUUUCCAGCUCGGUUCUAGAUGGUCGUCCUGGAUGGCGAUACCUGGAGUCCUCAACGGAUGCGGUUCCGGCUCAAAGGGCAGCGUCCGUAGAACUCAAGCGGAGGCGGCGGCGGCAGCAAAUCAAAGCAUGUACGGCAUCGGCGCCUACAACGCCGUUCGCAUCCCACCGCUCACCCCGCACGGUGUUGUGCACCACGACACGCUGACGCGCCGCCCUGUGCUUCCUUUACACAUCGGCGGGACGCACCAACUCCAUGCGUGGCCCGGAUCUGGCCGCCAUGGGCCUGGCGACCAGGCCUCACCCCCGCUUGGAUCCGACCGCUGCCUUCCCUACUGCGCGCCCCCUCUCGCCAUACGCUGCAUCCCCCAACAGAGUCGUAGGCAGCCGCUUCCCCUGACCCUCUCCCCUCUGGUGGCCGUGCAGGCGACCAGAGAGAGCACGACGGCGCCUCCCCUUGUCUCCCGCUGGUGGUCGCACUCCUUCCCGACUCCGGCUUCCAGCGCACGCCGCUCCGAGCCGCUCCGGCGAUGAGCGCGCCGAAGAGGGCGUUGUACGGGAGGCGGGGAGAGCCCCGGGAGGGUGUCGCGGGGCAGUUCGGGUGAGGAUUGGGGCUGCGUCAUUGUAGGUUUUUU